RNAcentral lists this ribosomal RNA (345 nucleotides) under Triticum aestivum (bread wheat). RNAcentral's name for it is "partial small subunit ribosomal RNA". Lineage: Eukaryota; Viridiplantae; Streptophyta; Magnoliopsida; Poales; Poaceae. The record is from RNAcentral.
UAUUAACCAUGAUCGUUUGGGUGCAGGAGGAUUAUCGGGUAUGGCCAGAUUUUUUAUGGGCGAGGAGACCCAGGAGCGGAUGGAAUUAGGGCUGACUCGGGCCUUGGUACUUUUGAGCUUCACAACGCAUCUUACCAUGGCCCUAUUAGCCGGGAUCCGUCGGCGUAGAGACUCCGGCUUGCGGAGGUUUCUGGUGUGGUUGGCAUACUACGUGACGGAGAAAGCCACGCCAAUCGCCCUUGGCAUGGUGUUCCUCGACACCGUGACCGCAGAUAGCGAGCAGAAGAUAUUUGCGCUCUGGGCACCUUUUCUCCUGCUGCACCUUGGUCGCCCGGACAACACCAC